This 301-nucleotide ribosomal RNA is filed under the name uncultured bacterium. RNAcentral describes it as "partial 16S ribosomal RNA". It matches the Rfam family "Bacterial small subunit ribosomal RNA", at positions 509 to 807 of the family's 1533-position model. The record is from RNAcentral.
CAGUAGCCGCGGUAAUACGUAGGUGGCAAGCGUUGUCCGGAAUUAUUGGGCGUAAAGGGCACGCAGGCGGUUUCUUAAGUCUGAUGUGAAAGCCCCCGGCUCAACCGGGGAGGGUCAUUGGAAACUGGGAAACUUGAGUGCAGAAGAGGAGAGUGGAAUUCCACGUGUAGCGGUGAAAUGCGUAGAGAUGUGGAGGAACACCAGUGGCGAAGGCGACUCUCUGGCCUGUAACUGACGCUGAGGAGCGAAAGCGUGGGGAGCGAACAGGAUUAGAUACCCCGGUAGUCCCUGUCUCUUAUAC